AACUCCCGUAACAGCUCUUAUUAAAGCCCAAGACCUCCUCUCGAAGGGACUGAAAUGAAGACAUUUUAAAUUGGAUUAAAGGAGUUUGUUGUGCAGUGUGUUGACUAUGCACCUGUGAGUUCUCGAGGAUUAAGACUUAGGGGCCUCGGUGACUGACUAGCGCUUUCUCUGUGAUUGAGGAUUUCCAUAGCAGUCUGCUGUCGGCAGCAGUGCUAAAACGUCAGAGCUGUCAUGGCCGUCACAGACAUAUUGUUUUCAUCCACGACAUCCUCUUGGGACAGGAAGAGACUCGUCAAGGGUUAGGCACAGGCUAUCUCUGUGAGGAAGAACGAUAGCCAAAAUACAAACAAGGUGCAGAGUGGAGCUGAGCGGGGGGGCUCUCUAUCUCCCAAUGGGAAGGACACAAAUGCUCUAAGCUAAUGGGAAAAAAAAGCUUGAUGAAGUGCAUGCUGACCCCAGUAAGAGACAACUUUUGAAUGAUUGCGACAGUUCACUUGGGAAAAACAUGAAUUUCACAGUUUACUCUUCAACGCUGAUCUCCACCGAUAAGAGGACUUCAAUAAACUUUGAAGACAUUCUGAGAUUUCAUGACUUGAUUCUACUUUUAGAAUCAGACAUGAAAGUAUCCAAUCCAUCUACUGCCACAUACUUAUGAGGA
This is a long non-coding RNA of Clupea harengus (Atlantic herring), 658 nucleotides long. The record is from Ensembl. NCBI's taxonomy places the organism in Eukaryota, Metazoa, Chordata, Actinopteri, Clupeiformes, Clupeidae.